CCUACGGGAGGCAGCAGUGAGGAAUAUUGGUCAAUGGGCGAGAGCCUGAACCAGCCAAGUCGCGUGAAGGAUGAAGGCUCUAUGGUUUGUAAACUUCUUUUAUAUGGGAAUAAAGAGAGGAACGUGUUCCUUUUUGUAUGUACCAUAUGAAUAAGCAUCGGCUAACUCCGGGCCAGCAGCCGCGGUAAUACGGAGGAUGCGAGCGUUAUCCGGAUUUAUUGGGUGUAAAGGGUGCGUAGGUGGUUAAUUAAGUCAGCGGUGAAAGUUUGUGGCUCAACCAUGGAAUUGCCGUUGAAACUGGUUGACUUGAGUAUAGGUGAGGUAGGCGGAAUGCGUGGUGUAGCGGUGAAAUGCAUAGAUAUCACGCAGAACUCCGAUGGCGAAGGCAGCUUACUAAACUAUAACUGACGCUGAAGCACGAAAGCGUGGGGAGCAAACAGGAUUAGAUACCCGAGUAGUC
This 460-nucleotide ribosomal RNA is filed under the name uncultured bacterium. Its description in RNAcentral is "partial 16S ribosomal RNA". It matches the Rfam family "Bacterial small subunit ribosomal RNA", at positions 338 to 795 of the family's 1533-position model. The record is from RNAcentral.